GCGCAGCAGGCGAGAAUACUCCGCAAUGCGCGCAAGCGUGACGGGGGAACUCCAAGUGCCCCUCAAAAGAGGGGCUUCUGUGAUAUGUAAAAAGUAUCACGAAUAAGGACUGGUCAAGACUAGUGCCAGCCUCCGCGGUAAAACUAGCAGUUCGAGUGGUAGCCACGAUUAUUGGGCUUAAAGCGUUCGUAGCCGGUUUUGUAAGUUCUCUGUAGAAAUCCUUGGGCCUAACCUAAGGGCUUGCAGAGAAUACUGCAAGGCUUGGAGUUGGGAGAA
This 276-nucleotide ribosomal RNA is filed under the name uncultured microorganism. RNAcentral describes it as "partial 16S ribosomal RNA". It matches the Rfam family "Archaeal small subunit ribosomal RNA", at positions 330 to 607 of the family's 1478-position model. The record is from RNAcentral.